Molecule: unclassified non-coding RNA, 242 nt
Filed under: Rozellomycota sp.
Lineage: Eukaryota; Fungi; Rozellomycota
Description: Cryptomycota sp. partial contains small subunit ribosomal RNA, internal transcribed spacer 1, and 5.8S ribosomal RNA
Rfam family: Eukaryotic small subunit ribosomal RNA (bases 1-46)
Source: RNAcentral
AAGUCGUAACAAGGUUUCCGUAGGUGAACCUGCGGAAGGAUCAUUAACAAAUCCUGUUCAUUCUUGCAUUGCUGUAGAAAGGUGACUGGAUUCACUCCAUUUCACUCCUCCACAUCCAAUGCAAGGGUAACACAAGUUCCAUGUUGCAUUGUUUACAACUGCACAUGACAUUUCUGCAAAUUAUCUGAUCACAUCAUUACAAAACAAACAAACAACUUUUAACAAUGGAUCUCUAGGCUCUU